AGCGUGCCCGCGGGGGCGGGGCGGCGGCGCCAGGCGGGGGGGCUGCUGCUGAGGCCCGUCAUAUGCAUAUGCAACGACCCGUGAGUGGGGGGCGUCGGGUGGGCCGCGCGGGGUCUCGGGCCCAUGGGGAGGGCCGCCCUGCUUGCCUGCCCGGCCACGUCAAGGCUGCAGAGCUGGGGCUGGGCCGGGGCGCAGACCCCGAGGACCCCGGCUGAGGGUACCGCCCCUGCGCCCCCAGGUUCGCGCCCUCCCUGCGGCAGCUGAAGCAGCAGGCGCUCCUGCUCCACUUCCCGCCGACGCUGCCGUCGCGGCUCGCGCAGCGGCUCCUGGAGGUCGGUGGGGGUGGGGGAGGUGGGGGGGCCGCGCCGGAGGGCUGCAUGGGCCGGUGCACUCGCCCUCACCCGUCCCUGGGCCCACCGCUGGCCUCCCACAGAUCGCCCUGAAGCGGGGCAUGCAGGCCGACCCGGGCGCGCUCGCCGCGCUCUGCGAGAAGACGGGCAACGACAUCCGGGCCUGCGUCAACACCCUGCAGUUCUUGCACGGGCAGGGCCGGCGGGGGCUGAGCCUGGGGACGGUGCGGACGGCGCACGUCGGCCUCAAGGACCAGCGCCGGGGGCUCUUCUCUGUGUGGCAGGAGGUCUUCCAGCUGCCCCGGGCGCAGCGGUGAGCAGCGCGGGGGUCCGUCUGCUGCGGGUGGGGGGGCCUUGCUGCAGGCACGGCCAUGCUUGUGGGGGGCAAGCCGGCUACCGGGGGGUCUCGGGACCCCAGGACGCUGCCCCCAGGAGCUCACCAGGUGGGACAUGGCGCUGCCAGCCUCCGAGGGCGCCCUCCCUACGGUCUGCACCGUGCAUGCGGAGGGCUUUGGGCCGGUCCAGGGCACAGCCCUCAGGCCUGGCGGGAGUGGGU
This 906-nucleotide long non-coding RNA is filed under the name Dasypus novemcinctus (nine-banded armadillo). Its description in RNAcentral is "lncRNA (ENSDNOG00000052739.1)". The record is from RNAcentral. Lineage: Eukaryota; Metazoa; Chordata; Mammalia; Cingulata; Dasypodidae.